GCAGCUGCUAAGAGCUCCGGUUGUAGCUGCUGGAGCUUGAAGUUAGCAACGGAUGCUUGUAGUAGCUGCUACAAGCUCCGGUUGUAGCUGCUGGAGCUUGAAGUUAGCUACGGAUGCUUGCAGCAGCUGCUAAGAGCUCCGGUUGUGUGGAGCGUGGAGAGCACAACACUCACGAACCUAACUUCCAGCUGCAGCUGCUGCUAUGGCCGCUCGUUCAAGAUACCGGAGCAAGCACAUCUGUUCACGUUGCUAGGCUACAUCACGUAGCAUGCCAGACGGACCCACCACAGAUGCGCACACAUGGAACGCAGCUUUCUAUGAAAACACUGCGACCUCACUACAAAAGUACAGGCACACAGAAAACUGUGCUGCACUGAUGUCGGUGUUGGGACCUCAGCUGUAAGAGACCUCGCUUGGAGGAGGGAGAGGACAAGAUGUGACAUUACGUGGAUAACCUGUUGGACUUCAUCUUUCACGAGGUUUUUCAGGACCCGGCCCCAUAUGUGAAUGAGGUGCUGAAGAUCUCAAAACCUGAGGAUCUCUCUGCCUAGUAUGAGAAACCUGACAAGCAGGAAGUUAUGGCCAGCUAUGUGUUUCUAGUUUCAAUCAAGGGCAGGUCUGAACCCUGUAUAACUUCCCUGAGCAUCAGGGAACACUCUGCGUAUCUGGAGCACCGAGCAGGAGGGCAGGACCACCCUGAUUCUCCGGCCCAGAGGGCCUCAACACCAGCUCACAAAGCUUCUGUACGCCAAAUACCUGUAACGGCUGAGCAAAGUUCACAUUGUAUUUAGAGAAUAAAAGGUGACACACAAAUAUAAAGUGUUCCUUUGUUUACAGUAUAGCUACUGAUGGCACAAAUUGUAUUUUUGUAAUGAAUGUAUUUAUUAUACUUGGUAUUUUUUGUAUUUAUUACCUCUGUCCCAGCAAGUACAUUUAAUAACUAUGAUUAAAAAGCUCUGUGGCAAUCUUUCUAGCAAUCUUUCUGACAAUAAAAGUUUAUAGAAACAGUUGUGUGCUUUUAAUGUUUGAUAUGUAACAUGUCAACAAUUGACACGUGUAAGAUGAGCAGUUAGCAAAGUAAUACAGAGGGAAGAGUAAUUUAUGUAUUUUA
This is a long non-coding RNA of Platichthys flesus (European flounder), 1111 nucleotides long. RefSeq lists it as uncharacterized. NCBI's taxonomy places the organism in Eukaryota, Metazoa, Chordata, Actinopteri, Pleuronectiformes, Pleuronectidae. The record is from RefSeq and is a predicted model, not a curated record. The transcript has 4 exons.